UUCCAGCUCUAAUAGCGUAUAUUAAAGUUGUUGCAGUUAAAAAGCUCGUAGUUGGAUUUUGGGGUCGGGCACGCUGUCGGGCUCUGCUCGGAUUGGCAUGACCGGCCCUUUCCUUCUGGGGACCGCAUUCCUCUUAAUUGAGGGGUGUUGGGACGCAGAUCGUUUACUUUGAAAAAUUAGAGUGUUCAAAGCAGGCAAUCGCUUGAAUACAUUAGCAUGGAAUAAUGGAAUAGGACUCCGGUUCUAUUUUGUUGGUUUCUAGGACCGAAGUAAUGAUUAAUAGGGAUAGUUGGGGGCGUUUGUAUUCCGUUGUCAGAGGUGAAAUUCUUGGAUUUACGGAAGACAAACUUCUGCGAAAGCAUUUCGCCAAGGAUGUUUUUCAUUAAUCAAGAACGAAAGUUAGGGGAUCGAAGACGAUCAGAUACCGUCGUAGUCUUAACCAUAAACUAUGCCGACUAGGGAUCAGCAGACGUUAUCAAUGACUCUGCUGGCACCUUGUG
This 500-nucleotide ribosomal RNA is filed under the name uncultured marine eukaryote. RNAcentral's name for it is "bacterial SSU rRNA". It matches the Rfam family "Eukaryotic small subunit ribosomal RNA", at positions 583 to 1092 of the family's 1831-position model. The record is from RNAcentral.